CCCUUAGAUGUUCUGGGCCGCACACGCGCUACACUGAAGGAGGCAGCGUGUACUCCUGGAUCGAAAGAUUUGGGUAACCCGCGAAUCUCCUUCGUGCUAGGGAUUGAGGUUUGCAAUUAACCUUCAUGAACGAGGAAUUCCCAGUAAGUGCAAGUCAUAAGCUUGCGCUGACUACGUCCCUGCCCUUUGUACACACCGCCCGUCGCUACUACCGAUUGAAUGAUUUAGUGAGGACUUCGGACUGGGACCGAUGCGGCUUUCGGGCUGCGUCGGUAUUCUGGAAAGAUGUCCAAACUGUAUCAUUUAGAGGAAGUAAAAGUCGUAACA
RNAcentral lists this ribosomal RNA (327 nucleotides) under uncultured eukaryote. Its description in RNAcentral is "partial 18S ribosomal RNA". It matches the Rfam family "Eukaryotic small subunit ribosomal RNA", at positions 1470 to 1796 of the family's 1831-position model. The record is from RNAcentral.